CAUCAUAGGGGCUAGGUCUAUGGUUCAACAUAUCGUUCACAAUGUAUUUUACUAUUUGUCUCUCUCUUUUCUCUCUCAAACUUUGAUUUGUCUUCAUUAUUUCGAUCACCAUCGGAUCUGCACCGGGCCCCGUUUCUGACGAGAUGUGCACCGUUGCCGACUGAGCUCUAUUUCGAUCUAAUUAUUGAUGAGAGAUUCCAUCGAGGACUGCCGAUUCAGAAAUCAAGCUUUGAUUCUUCUAUCAAUUUCAUCUCUAUGUUCAUUCUAACUCAGACUCCUUUAUUGUUCUAUACUGCUUUUCAAUGUUCUUAUUGAAGUUAUGAUGCUUGCUAACUAUGGGCCACUGCUGUAUAGUUUUCUAUUCAUGCAUUUUUUUCAUGACCAACCAAACACAUUAGCACAGCCUUUCCUCCUGAUUUGAAUUUGGUGGAUUGAUUGUCUAACCAGAGUCUUGGUAGAUUUGUGUAAUUGUCCUGUGUUUGUGUCAUAUUGCCUUGAAACCACAGAAUUAUCAAUGGCCGCAGCUACAAGUUUGUCCUAGAUAGUGGUAGGUUUGUUGGCAGGCAUAAUCUGUUUGAGGUAAGUUUAUUGGUCUAUUCAAAGGCUUUACAUGACCCUUAGAUGCUCUGGGCCCCAUGCGCGCUACGGUGAUGUUUUCAACGAGUCUAUAGCCUUGGCUGACAUGCCCGGGUAAUCUUUGAAAUUAAAAAAAAAAAUUCCUUAAGUAGGUUUUCCAGUUAUAUUAGAGUAUUCAAACAGCUUGACAAAGCUUGAAAAUUGAGAGAGAGGUCUAUGUCAAAUAGCAAGUUAAGUUCAGGCUUUGUGUUGAUAAAACAGGGAAGGCCCUUUAAGGUAAAGAUUGACACCUUUCCCUGCCUACCCUGUGGUCACAAAACGGUCAUUUGUAAUUGAAUUGAACUAUCAGAAAUUUAUUCCAAUCACACUAUACUAUCUGAUUUUGUUUUGAAUUAAUAAACAUUUGUUGAGUAAUGAUCAUUCACGUUUGAUUACAUAUUUGAAAGAUGAUAUUAGCAAUAUUUAUUUAACAUUCCUGAUUAAUGGCUAUCUGAUGUAGAUAGGGAGCUAGUUGACUUGGCUGCCACAGAGCAGAAGGAAUAAGAUGCCAUUGCCUCCGUAUGAUUGUAUGCUUCUAUUUAAGCCCCAUAUAAGAAAGGAAGCCCUCAUUGAUUUGGUUUCCAGGGUGGGAAAACAUGUGUACAGAAGAAAUGGGGUUGUCACUGAUAUAAAGAGUUUCGGACCAGUUCAGUUGGGCUAUGGUAUAAAAAAGCUCGAUGGCAGAUAUUAUCAGGGCCAACUGAUGCAACUGAGCAUGAUGGCUACUCCUGACAUCAACAAAGAGCUCCAUUACUUAAACAAAGAAGAUAGGCUUCUGCGUUGGCUUCUUGUUAAACAACGGAACACAAAAUUUGGGCUUGACUUCCUUGGCGAGGAAGGUGCAAUUGAGCUUAGUGAAUUGUCUCAAAGCAGAAAACUCUAUGAUUAUGAGAAUGCGGAUGAGGAUGAUGAUGAUGGCGAUGAUGAUGAAUAUGAGGUUAAUGAAGAAGGGCACAAAAUGAACUAAAAGAUAACUGAGUAUUUUGUUUGUUUCCAAAAUAAGAGGAUAAAACCAUUGGACCAAUAGGUAUUUUAUGUUCAACUUGUGCUUAUCGAUAGCGCUAGGUAAGAACUGAGACAUGAUCACUGUUGUCUCUUCUUGCUAUUUGACAGAAUAAGAUUUUUGUAGCUUGCUGAAAUUUUAGUUUACAAAUGUGCUAGUCUUGACCCGGAGCAGUUGAGCUCGUCCAAAAUAGUUGUGGCCUACGAUAUCUCAAGGAAAACAAUAAUGGUCAGAGGAUAAGAGCAGUUUCAAUAUGCAUCGAUGCAUUGACAUGUAAAAUUGCAUGCAAGUGGCAAAGAAGUGAGAAAUGGUGAAUGGGUGAACCUAUCUUUUUCCUAUUUAAGAAGCACCUUGUAUUUCCCAUGCACAAAGAUGAUAAGCAAGGUUCCAAGCCAUGUGACGGAGAUACCUGAAUAUAUAAUUUUGUCAAAAUCUGUAAAGAAGUUCAGCACA
Lotus japonicus is the source of this 2071-nucleotide RNA transcript. RefSeq lists it as uncharacterized. The transcript has 4 exons. NCBI's taxonomy places the organism in Eukaryota, Viridiplantae, Streptophyta, Magnoliopsida, Fabales, Fabaceae. The record is from RefSeq and is a predicted model, not a curated record.